AUUUAUAUAAUAUAAAAAGUAUAUUUAAUUUCCAAUUAAAAAGUUUAAUAAACUAAUAUAAAUA
RNAcentral lists this transfer RNA (64 nucleotides) under Anisocentropus maculatus. Its description in RNAcentral is "tRNA-Gly". The record is from RNAcentral. Lineage: Eukaryota; Metazoa; Arthropoda; Insecta; Trichoptera; Calamoceratidae.